This is a non-coding RNA of Oryza sativa Japonica Group (Japanese rice), 3128 nucleotides long. NCBI's taxonomy places the organism in Eukaryota, Viridiplantae, Streptophyta, Magnoliopsida, Poales, Poaceae. The record is from RefSeq and is a predicted model, not a curated record.
GUGCAAGGCCGAGCUGAGCUGAGCUGAGCUGCAGCGAGUGACAGCUCCACAGAAAAGCAAAGCAAGCAAGCUACCUCUCUCUCUCUCUCUCUCUCUCUCGGUAGCUUCUCUCUCUUGCUGGCUGGCUCUCUGCGCGUGGUGUGUACUCCUGCUGUCCCUGCUGCGGCUACAGCUACUGUUGCAGCUCGAGCACCCAGAAGGCCAGAAACCCAGAACAAGUCUCACACCCUCCUCCUCCUCUCGUCCAUACUAGCACCACCGCUGCUGCUGUUGCUCCUGCUGCUGUGCUGCCGCCGCCUGCUCGUCCAAGAAUCUUCCAGCUUUCCCCAAUACUGAGCAGCCAACUCCUGCUACCGCUUCUUGAUCUGUGGGAUUUUCUUCUUGUUUCGAAUCCAAGAUCACUUCCAAUCCAUAGUUUUGGCUUUUGGCUUCCCUCCAGCAUCAGUGAAAAUUGGUUCUUUGGAGGGGAAGAAAUGGAUAGCGGCUGGAUAUGCUUCUUGAGCCAGAUUGCUGAUUUGAUGCAAUAAGAUUUCUAUCUUAUUUCUUGCUGCAGUAUCACAAAUCAAACUAGGAGAACUGACUGAGAAGUGAAAUAUUCUGCUUCCAAGAAUCAAUCAGAUAAACUGAUUCCAAGAAAAUAACAAGAAGUAAUCAGAUAACAGAAGCAGCUGCAGCUGCAGCAGUAGCAUCUUUCUGUUCCCAGUAAUUGCCCAAUCCAACUCCAGCUAGAUUUAAUCAGAUAGAGAAGUAAUCUGCUGGAUUGAAAUCCAUGGGUAGGGGAAGAGGCAGAGGGAGGAAGCUCACCAAUGGCAGGAGCCAUGAGGACAAGGGCAGCAGCGGCGAGGAGGUUGUGCCUGCGAGGAAGAGGAGGGGAAGGCCGCAGAAGCGCAUUGUCGACAAGGUGGUGGAUCAAGCAGAGGCCAAGAAUCUAACCGAGGGCGACGACGGUGAUGCUGACUACCAACAAGGCGAAGGAGAAGACGGCGGUGCGAAGCCGAAGGUGUCAAGAACGGAGAAGAGCUCUGCAGGGAAGGGCAACAAGAGGAACAGGCUGCCCAAGGAGGAAGAAAGCUCAAACCUUGACCUUGAGGAGAACAGCUCAAGCACCCGGUCCAGCAACGAUGAAUCCACCAGGUCCAAUGGCUUCCGGCAGAAUGGCAGCCGGCGUAAGAGCACGCCGCGGCGAGCCGCGGAGGCGGGGAUAUAGCUUGGAAACUUUGGAAUAGGGUGGGGAGGACAGUUUCAUCAGGGAUUGGUUCUUGGGUUAUAUCAUCAGUUAGGCAAGCUGCUCUUCAGUUUUGUCAUCUUCAGAUUCGAGAUACAUCCAUCGGAGUUUUGCUUCUGGUGAUGAAAAUUGUAUGAACUAGCAUCGGCUUAUGGUACUACUAUAGUCUAUAGCUAGCAUCACCAAUCUUCUUGCAACUUUGUUUCAUCUCAUCUGCUUUACUUUUGCCAUUUCAGAGAUACAUCCAUAGCUUUUUUUUUUUAGAUAAGAGUAUUUUUACCUGGCCUCUACAUUCAACUGGAUAUAUGCAGUUUUUUUAAAUUAGGAACUUAGCCCUCAAAUAACUCAAUCUAAAAUUCGCUCCUGUGAAGAUUUGAACUCAGAACCUUGGGGUGUUACUCAGGUCACUGCAAUCAUUAGGCUAUAUGCCCUUUCAUCAGUGUUGGCUGUUACUCCUUGUUCUUGCCAGAUCAAGAUAGGUUGACUGUUGAUCGAUUGCUGCACUUUGUCUUGCUCUAAUCAAGAUAGCUUGAUUGCUGAUCUAUAUUGCAAAGGCCAAAUGACUAUAACAUGUUCAUUCUGUUCACUGGUGAAGUGCAGACUUCAUGGAAUUCAGAUGUCAUAAUAUCUUUUUGCUGGGCAUCUAGGGUUCCUUUUGCUGGAUUCAGGAUACACUAUAAAUAGUGAAGCAUAGUAUCCUGUCUUAGAUUGGUGAAGAAACAGUGCUUUUGUGGACAAUUUGCACACCAUGAUGGAUGUUUUCAAAUGAUGUCAAAUUAUCAAUCUAGCAUACAAUAAAGGAAGAUUUUCAGGGUAUUUGAUUCUGCAGUGAUGAUGCUGUCGAACCAUAUUUCUGCCCUAGCAUUUUUUUGGCAACUGGCCUUGAACCAUUAUCGACCAUAUUGUAACACAAAUUGUUGCCUCCUGUCUGGAUCAACAGUAAGUCUAACCACACUAAAACCUAAUCUACCACUCCUAGUAUUUAUCAUCAUGGAACAAAAAGAUUCAGACACCAUGAUAGUAUCUCCACUGAGCCAUGUAAGAGCAAGUUUAAUAGUAUAGCCAACUAUUGGCUCUAAAAUCAAUUAUAGUUAAUUUAAUAGCUAAUUCAUACAAUAGUUACCUAUAAACAUGUACUAUAUAAUUAAUAUCUGGUCCCACCUAUCAUGCACACAUGCAUAUUGGAGUCUGUGCUACAGCUGGCUACAAAUGUGUAGCUCGCUGCUUUUAUCUCUCAUCUUUUAUCUUCUUAAAAUAUGUUUAUAGCUGACUUAUAGUAUGCUACUGUACUUGCUCUAAAUGUGAUCCCUCUGCAUUGUUGGCUGCACUUGUCAGAAUUCGUUUUUUGUGUAGAUUGCUUCUCUGACGACCAUCUAGAAAGCGUUUCAAGUGGAGACUGAACUUUCAAUUUUGCCAUUUCAAUUUCAGGUUUCAACAAGGCUUAACAAAAAAUUCAGUGCCUAUUGCCGGAUUUGGCAUGUACGAUGGGCCUAGGUACACUCGGACCGUUGAAAUUGGUGGUUUGUGGAUGAGCAUUUUGUUUUGUGGUUCCUUGCUAGUUGCUCCGGCAAGCCGUAGUGGUAGUGCCGGUGACCUAAUCUAGAACCAAAGAUGGGUCCUCCUGUUUUUGGAAUUUGUGUAGGUUUAGUUUAUCAUGUAUAUAUAUGGGAAGGAUAAGUUCAUGGGUGAGAAAGUUGAAUCUUGCACUUUCUGCCAGCACAAAUAGUAGAUGAUUCCGAUUUUCUAGUAUUUUCCUUUUAAAUAGAAGUUGUUUCGAUAUUGGGCUUUUGAUAUUGUAGAGAAUUGUAUCGACUAUCAUCCCAUGUAAUCGGAUAAGAGAUGUAAAACAAUCUUAUUAUGAUUUUUAUAACGUGCAUGAGCGAGAAACAAUCGGAGAUAGAAA